GACGAACGCUGGCGGCGUGCUUAACACAUGCAAGUCGAACGGAAAGGCCCUGCUUUUGUGGGGUGCUCGAGUGGCGAACGGGUGAGUAACACGUGAGUAACCUGCCCUUGACUUUGGGAUAACUUCAGGAAACUGGGGCUAAUACCGGAUAGGAGCUCCUGCUGCAUGGUGGGGGUUGGAAAGUUUCGGCGGUUGGGGAUGGACUCGCGGCUUAUCAGCUUGUUGGUGGGGUAGUGGCUUACCAAGGCUGUGACGGGUAGCCGGCCUGAGAGGGUGACCGGCGACAAUGGGACUGAGAGACGGCCCAGACUCCAACGGGAGGCAGCAGUGGGGAAUAUUGCACAAUGGGCGGAAGCCUGAUGCAGCAACGCCGCGUGCGGGAUGACGGCCUUCGGGUUGUAAACCGCUUUCGCCUGUGACGAAGCGUGAGUGACGGUAAUGGGUAAAGAAGCACCGGCUAACUACGUG
RNAcentral lists this ribosomal RNA (468 nucleotides) under uncultured bacterium. RNAcentral's name for it is "partial 16S ribosomal RNA". It matches the Rfam family "Bacterial small subunit ribosomal RNA", at positions 28 to 507 of the family's 1533-position model. The record is from RNAcentral.